CUUUUUCGAAAGGUAUGCUUAAAGAUGAGCUUGCGCCACAUUAGUUUGUUGGUGGGGUAAUGGCCUACCAAGACGAUGAUGUGUAGCUGGACUGAGAGGUCGAACAGCCACAUUGGGACUGAGACACGGCCCAAACUCCUACGGGAGGCAGCAGUAGGGAAUUUUCGGCAAUGGAGGAAACUCUGACCGAGCAACGCCGCGUGAACGAUGAAGUAUUUCGGUAUGUAAAGUUCUUUUAUUGAAGAAGAAAAAAUAGUGGAAAAACUAUCUUGACGUUAUUCAAUGAAUAAGCCCCGGCUAACUAUGUGCCAGCAGCCGCGGUAAGACAUAGGGGGCGAGCGUUAUCCGGAAUUAUUGGGCGUAAAGGGUGCGUAGGCGGUUAGGAAAGUCUAUAAUUUAAUUUCAGUGCUUAACGCUGUCUUGUUAUAGAAACUACCUUGACUAGAGUUAGAUAGAGGCAAGCGGAAUUCCAUGUGUAGCGGUAAAAUGUGUAAAUAUAUGGAGGAACACCAGAAGCGUAGGCGGCUUGCUGGGUCUUGACUGACGCUGAGGCACGAAAGCGUGGGUAGCAAACAGGAUUAGAUACCCUGGUAGUCCACGCCGUAAACGAUGAGUACUAAGUGUCGGGAUAAAACUCGGUACUGAAGUUAACACAUUAAGUACUCCGCCUGAGUAGUACGUACGCAAGUAUGAAACUUAAAGGAAUUGACGGGACUCCGCACAAGCGGUGGAUCAUGUUGUUUAAUUCGAAGAUACACGAAAAAUCUUACCAGGUCUUGACAUGCUCUGCAAAGCUAUAGAAAUAUAGUGGAGGUUAUCAGGGACACAGGUGGUGCAUGGUUGUCGUCAGUUCGUGUCGUGAGAUGUUAGGUUAAGUCCUAAAACGAGCGCAACCCUUGUCGUUAGUUACCAGCACGUA
RNAcentral lists this ribosomal RNA (919 nucleotides) under Candidatus Phytoplasma fraxini. RNAcentral's name for it is "bacterial SSU rRNA". It matches the Rfam family "Bacterial small subunit ribosomal RNA", at positions 195 to 1127 of the family's 1533-position model. The record is from RNAcentral. Lineage: Bacteria; Bacillati; Mycoplasmatota; Mollicutes; Acholeplasmatales; Acholeplasmataceae.